UACGUAGGCAGCAAGCGUUGUUCGGAAUUACUGGGCGUAAAGAGUGUGUAGGCGGUGUCGUAAGUUUGGUGUGAAAUCUCCCGGCUUAACUGGGAGGGUGCGCCGAAGACUGCGAUGCUUGAGUAUGGGAGAGGAAAGCGGAAUUCCUGGUGUAGCGGUGAAAUGCGUAGAUAUCAGGAGGAACACCUGCGGUGUAGACGGCUUUCUGGACCAUUACUGACGCUGAGACACGAAAGCGUGGGUAGCAAACAGG
Molecule: ribosomal RNA, 253 nt
Filed under: uncultured bacterium
Lineage: Bacteria
Description: partial 16S ribosomal RNA
Rfam family: Bacterial small subunit ribosomal RNA
Source: RNAcentral